RNAcentral lists this transfer RNA (72 nucleotides) under Phrynosoma platyrhinos (Desert horned lizard). RNAcentral's name for it is "tRNA-OTHER". Lineage: Eukaryota; Metazoa; Chordata; Lepidosauria; Squamata; Phrynosomatidae. The record is from RNAcentral.
UGGAGAGUGGCAUAGUGGUUUGAGUGUUGGACCAUGACUCUGGAGAACAGGGUUCAAUUCUCUGCUCAGCCA